GGUUACUACUCAAAGAUUUUCUAACUGAGCUGAGCUUAGGGUCACCCUCCCGAUAUUUGAUUAUGUCUUUAAGUAAAUCAAGACAUUCCCUAGAUAGAUUCAGGGCACCAACCACAAAAUGUUUGUCAGAAGAUGUGGGCACACCCACACCAGAAAAACGUGAGAAAGAGUCUGCCAGAACGUUCUUGCUCCCAGAAAUGUGCUUGAGGUCGAAAGAAAACUCUUGCAGUGCUAGUGCCCAUCUUGUGAUACGUGGUGACAAUAGUCUGCAAGUUUUCAGGUAUGUUAAUGCCCUGCAAUCAGUGUAUAAAAUAAAAUGAUUCCCUAGCAGAUAAACCCUCCACUUUUGGAGCACCCAGAGCGCAGCAAGUACUUCCUUUCCAUAGGCACAGUAUCGCCUCUCUCUAUCAAGCAAUAUCCGUGAUACACAAGACACAAGCCUCCUUUCCCCGUUCACAAUCUGGAACAGUAUUCCAGCAAUUUCAACGUCACUUGCAUCCGUCUCAACAUGCAUUUGCAGGUUAGGAUUAGGAUGAUAAAGCAUCGUAGCAUUUUUCAAUUCUUCCUUCAGACAGUUGAAUGAUGUUUCCUCGGCCUCCGUCCACUUCCAUGCAGAUUUUUUCCGGAGAAGUUUCGUAAGUGGUGCAGACAACUCAGAAAAUCUUGCAGUGAAUAUUCGGUCAUAUUGGCACAGCCCAAGAAACCUCUGUAGCUCCCUGGCAUUGCAGGGUGAACGAUAAUCCGCGAUUGCCUGAACUCUGCUUGGAUCAGGUGUUACUCCAGACGAGGUUAGUAUAUAACCCAAAUAGGGAAUUUCAUCCCUGAUGAAAAUGCAUUUCUCCAAUUUUAGAGUUAAGCCAGCAUCUUGGAGACGCUGGAAAACCAUCCUGAGAUGCAUCAUGUGUUCUUCAAAUGAUUCAGAUAUAAUUAGUAUGUCAUCAACGUAGGCAACGACGAAAUCAUGAAAAUCUGGUCCCAGAACUGUAUCAACACAUCGAGUGAAGGAGCUCGUAGCAUUCUUAACUCCAAAUGGCAGCACACAGAAUUGAUGUGUUUUUGUACCCACCAUGAAGCCUGCAUAUUUUUUCGAUUCUGGUGUCAAUGGACACUGCCAAUAUCCAUGGGUCAGAUGUAAACUUGACAGGAACUUUUUUCCAGACAUCAUUUUUAUUAUUUCAUUUAUUGGCCUGGGUAACUCAAACUGGGAUUCCAUCACUUUAUUCAGAUGUCUUGCAUCUAAACAGACUCGAACUGAACCAUCCUUCUUCACAGUGGUCAUUAUCGGCGAAAUGUAUUUGGGUGAUGCCCGUUCGAUGACGCCCCAUUCAACCAUUUGGUCGAUGGUACGUUCUACAGCUGGUCGAUGUGCAACAGGAAUUGGGUACGGUUUCAUAAAAAAUUCUGACUCAUCCGCCAACCUAAUUUCGUGAUAAUAUUCAUACUCAUCUGCUUGUCGAAGACGAGAGACUGCAUCUGAUAGACUUGAACAUCCGAGUAAAGAACAGGAGAUGUUUGGUGGAAAAUGAGGGGCGAUUGCAUCUAUUAGUUCUUUCACCGUAUACGGUGGUUCCAAGUGUUUAGUAGCAGCAACCCAGUAAUUAAAAUGAUCUACCAACAAACCUUCUCUGUAUUCAGUUCUUUCUUGUUGAUCUUUGAUCUUAAUUUGUUUUUUCUUACUCCAAAAAUGACACAGAAAUUCAGUUUUAAAUUGCGCAUAAUCUCCAAAAUAAUCAGAAUAGGCCUCCCACCAAAGUUUGGCUGAACUCUUAAAACAGUUUCUGAAUAUUAUC
Molecule: RNA transcript, 1790 nt
Organism: Coccinella septempunctata (seven-spotted ladybird)
Lineage: Eukaryota; Metazoa; Arthropoda; Insecta; Coleoptera; Coccinellidae
Exons: 2
Source: RefSeq, a predicted model, not a curated record